CCUACGGGAGGCAGCAGUGAGGAAUAUUGGUCAAUGGAGGCAACUCUGAACCAGCCAUGCCGCGUGCAGGAUGACGGUCCUAUGGAUUGUAAACUGCUUUUGUACAGGAAGAAACCUCGCUACGUGUAGCGAUUUGACGGUACUGUAAGAAUAAGGAUCGGCUAACUCCGUGCCAGCAGCCGCGGUAAUACGGAGGAUCCGAGCGUUAUCCGGAAUUAUUGGGUUUAAAGGGUUCGUAGGCGGUUAGAUAAGUCAGUGGUGAAAUUUCUUAGCUUAACUAAGACCCGGCCAUUGAUACUGUUUGACUUGAAUAGUAUGGAAGUAACUAGAAUAUGUAGUGUAGCGGUGAAAUGCUUAGAUAUUACAUGGAAUACCAAUUGCGAAGGCAGGUUACUACGUACUUAUUGACGCUGAUGAACAAAAGCGUGGGGAGCGAACAGGAUUAGAUACCCUGGUAGUCCACGCCGUAAACGAUGGAUACUAGCUGUUCGGUUUUCGGACUGAGUGGCUAAGCGAAAGUGAUAAGUAUCCCACCUGGGGAGUACGUUCGCAAGAAUGAAACUCAAAGGA
Molecule: ribosomal RNA, 570 nt
Filed under: uncultured Myroides sp.
Lineage: Bacteria; Pseudomonadati; Bacteroidota; Flavobacteriia; Flavobacteriales; Flavobacteriaceae
Description: bacterial SSU rRNA
Rfam family: Bacterial small subunit ribosomal RNA
Source: RNAcentral